RNAcentral lists this long non-coding RNA (1654 nucleotides) under Capra hircus (goat). RNAcentral describes it as "lncRNA (ENSCHIG00010028726.1)". Lineage: Eukaryota; Metazoa; Chordata; Mammalia; Artiodactyla; Bovidae. The record is from RNAcentral.
AUGGACAUAAGUCCUCAGAACGAUGCUCGUUUUCCUUUCAAAGCUGCAAAAUCUCUUCUAGGAUGUACAGAUUCUGCCCUCUGUGAAGUGGGAGAUGGUCAGCAGGCAGGUAACUGGACUCUCCUUACCCCUUUCAUUGAGGCAGGUGUCAGAUUUCUGAUGGAGAACCGAACUGCACUGUCUUCCACAACAAUUUCUGGGGGCCUAUGCUGCUUUCUUCUGACAGAAGGAAAACUGUUUUCCGGCUGCUGAACCAGUCCAGGAAGCUGCCCACAGUGCAGUGAGAAGGCUGUCUGCCUCCUGCUUGCUGGGCCCAGCCCUCCUAGUGAGCUGGGAGGCACAGUCCCUGUUGGCUGGGGUGCGUGUGGAGCCCUUUCUUCCAACACUUACUGUUGGGGGUGCUGCUUGAGAGGAUGCUCACUGCCCAAGAUGCAGUGGGUGCAUCAGUAAUGGUAGAUGUUGUCAUUGAAUGGGGGCAGGUGGGGGCAGGUCCGGGCAAUGAUGCCCAACUUUGGUUUAGACUAGCUUAGGUCAAACUAGCUUGCCUAAACUAGUCAGACUCCACGUAACUCUUUGAUCAGAAUGGGGAUAUAGUAGCUUACUUUUUGGCUCUCCACAGUGCCGAGAGCCGAGUGGAUACUGCUACCAGUAUGUUUUACAAUCAAAGGCUGCAUUUAGCAGAAAGGUCUCUUAGGCUUUGCUGUGUGACCUCUGUGUUUUUCUUGUCUUUCUGUGUCUUUCUUAGGAGCAGCAUCUUAGCAAGUUGGGAAGCUGGUGAUUCACCCUCUGUUAGCCUUGAGGCAGUCUAAGGAUUUUGUAUUUGAUUGUAUGCAUGCACUCACUCAGUCGUGUCCAACUCUUUGUGACCCCAUGANNNNNNNNNNNNNNNNNNNNNNNNNNNNNNNNNNNCCAUGGAAUUUUCCAGGCAAGAAUACUGGAGUGGGUUGCCAUUUCCUCCUACUAGAGAUCUUCCUGGCCCAAGAAUUGAACCCGUGUCUCCUGCGUCCCCUGCAUUGGCAGGCAGAUUCUGAGCCACCUGCCCAUUUGAUUGGGCGGAAAUUAAUUUGAAAAUUCUUGACAGUUUCAAAAUGGAAGCGGAGAGGUGAGUGGGUCCCAGGUCAGAUUCAUGACAGGGAUGCAGACUAGUCAUGGAGUUCCUGCUAUUAUCUACAUAAGACAAAACAGUGGCCUGGCCAGGACAGGGCAACUGAUAUGGAAAGGAGGGAAGAGUUUCUUAUGUUUUCCUUAAAACUUUUUUUAUUGUGGUAAGAUAUACGUAACAAUGAGGUAUGUGGAGUAGUCAGAUAUGUAGAGAUAGAAAGUAGAAUGAUGGUUAGUUAGCAGAGGUGUGGGGAGGGAGAAUGAGAAGGUAGUGUUUAGUGGGCACAGAGUUUCAGUUUUACAAGAUGAGGAACCUCCCUGGCAGUCCAGUGCGAACACUCCAAGCUUCCAGUGCAGGGAGCCCUGGGUCCAUCCCUGGUCAGGGAACUAGAUCCCACACGCUGCAACUAAAAGUUCACAUGCCGCAACGAAGAUCGAAGAUCCCCAAACUGAGUAUCCCAGCACAGCCAAAUAAAUAAGUAAUAAAUUAAAAAAUCUUUGCAACCUCAGGGACUCUAGCCUACCAGGCUCCUCUGUCCAUGGAAUUCUUCAG